RNAcentral lists this long non-coding RNA (559 nucleotides) under Phoenix dactylifera (date palm). Its description in RNAcentral is "long non-coding RNA (PDAC_LNC016937)". The record is from RNAcentral. Lineage: Eukaryota; Viridiplantae; Streptophyta; Magnoliopsida; Arecales; Arecaceae.
UAUGGAAAUAGAUUGCGGUCAAGUACACUAUUUCAACAAAGAUGCAUGAAUCUAAUAAAGGUAGACAAAAAGGCUCUUCAAUUUAAUAUAAUUCUUGAAUGAAAAUAUUAAAAAAAAUACUUAAAAAAAAGGGCCCAUGAAACUGUUCUUGGCAAUACUGUUUACCAUGUGAAGCAAGAGCAGAAUAGGAAAAGGUCAUCCCAUGGCGCUUCACGGUCAAAGAAUUUGUCCAGAAAGGGACCUCUCUAUAAGAGAAAGUAGGGUCAUUAUGGGAAAUUCACUCCAUCUAAUUAAUAAAAGUCCCAUCCCACCAUCUUCCCUUCAAGUGAGUACCCAAGCAGCCACUGCAACAUCACGGCACAUCAGCCAUUCAACCCCCCCUCCCUCCCUCUCUUUCUCUACCCUCCUUUUCUUUUGCUAAAGACCAUCUCCCCCUUCAAGUGAGCACCGAAGCUGCAACUGCAACAUCACGGCAUAGCAGCCAUUCAACCUCCUCCCUCCUUUUCUCUCUCUACCACCCAAGAGGGGAGAAGAAACCGAGAGGAGAAAAUUAAAAGAA